RNAcentral lists this ribosomal RNA (251 nucleotides) under uncultured Rhodoferax sp. RNAcentral's name for it is "partial 16S ribosomal RNA". It matches the Rfam family "Bacterial small subunit ribosomal RNA", at positions 1131 to 1382 of the family's 1533-position model. The record is from RNAcentral. Lineage: Bacteria; Pseudomonadati; Pseudomonadota; Betaproteobacteria; Burkholderiales; Comamonadaceae.
UUGGGCACUCUAAUGAGACUGCCGGUGACAAGCCGGAGGAAGUGGGGAUGACGUCAAGUCCUCAUGGCCCUUAUAGGUGGGGCUACACACGUCAUACAAUGGCUGGUACAAAGGGUUGCCAACCCGCGAGGGGGAGCUAAUCCCAUAAAGCCAGUCGUAGUCCGGAUCGUAGUCUGCAACUCGACUACGUGAAGUCGGAAUCGCUAGUAAUCGUGGAUCAGAAUGUCACGGUGAAUACGUUCCCGGGUCUU